RNAcentral lists this small RNA (200 nucleotides) under Chelonoidis abingdonii (Abingdon island giant tortoise). RNAcentral's name for it is "TUC338 (ENSCABG00000011492.1)". Lineage: Eukaryota; Metazoa; Chordata; Testudines; Testudinidae. The record is from RNAcentral.
UUGACAGCCCCGCAAGAUGAAGUCCUCUCUUUAUCCACAGGGUAAAUACAGCAUGAGCAGUAGGAAGCUCAGCCUUCCCUCACUGCCCUGUUAGUGCUCCUCGGCCUCAACGUGGCAGGACUAUACCUAAGGAUGGGUUCUAGGCCUACUGAUAACGGAUCCCUGCUUUGACACCCGUCCCAGGUCAAUUAGUGCCAUUU